RNAcentral lists this transfer RNA (94 nucleotides) under Verrucomicrobiales bacterium. RNAcentral's name for it is "tRNA-Sec". It matches the Rfam family "Selenocysteine transfer RNA". The record is from RNAcentral. Lineage: Bacteria; Pseudomonadati; Verrucomicrobiota; Verrucomicrobiia; Verrucomicrobiales.
GGAGAGUGGUGGGUGCCUGGUGGCCCCCGCGGUCUUCAAAACCGUUGAAGCGUCGUAAUCCGGCGCUUGGUUGGUUCAAUUCCUUCCCUCUCCG